RNAcentral lists this ribosomal RNA (205 nucleotides) under uncultured bacterium. Its description in RNAcentral is "partial 16S ribosomal RNA". It matches the Rfam family "Bacterial small subunit ribosomal RNA", at positions 568 to 774 of the family's 1533-position model. The record is from RNAcentral.
CGCGUAGGCGGUUUGUUAAGUCGGAUGUGAAAUCCCCGGGCUCAACCUGGGAACUGCACCCGAUACUGGCCGACUAGAGUACGAGAGAGGGGGUAGAAUUCCACGUGUAGCGGUGAAAUGCGUAGAUAUGUGGAGGAAUACCAGUGGCGAAGGCGGCCCCCUGGUUCGAUACUGACGCUGAGGUGCGAAAGCGUGGGAGCAAACA